RNAcentral lists this unclassified non-coding RNA (231 nucleotides) under Hevea brasiliensis (rubber tree). Lineage: Eukaryota; Viridiplantae; Streptophyta; Magnoliopsida; Malpighiales; Euphorbiaceae. The record is from RNAcentral.
GUUGUCCUCCUACUUAUUGGAUGGUCAGUGGAACUUUAUAUCUUUCCUGUGUGGUCCUUGGCUGAUGGCAGCAAAUCCUAAUUUAUAUGCCCGUUCUAACUGUUUUUGACUGUGUACUAUCAAGUGUAACUUAUUUAAUCCAUAUUUUGGGGCAGUUACAGUUUCUGAGUUGCAUCCCUCUAUGUAAUCUUUUGUUGGUUUUGGCAGUGUUAAUUUGGUUUAUUGGUUAUU